RNAcentral lists this non-coding RNA (148 nucleotides) under Gorilla gorilla gorilla (western lowland gorilla). The record is from Rfam by way of RNAcentral. Lineage: Eukaryota; Metazoa; Chordata; Mammalia; Primates; Hominidae.
GCUGGGCGUGGUGACGCAUUCCUGUAAUCCCAGCUACUCGGGAGGCUGAGGUAGGAGAAUUGCUUGAACCCAGGAGGCAGAGGUUGCAGUGAGCCGAGAUCACGCCACUGCAGUCCAGCCUGGGUGACAGAGCAAGAUUCUGUCUUUU